RNAcentral lists this ribosomal RNA (425 nucleotides) under uncultured bacterium. RNAcentral's name for it is "partial 16S ribosomal RNA". It matches the Rfam family "Bacterial small subunit ribosomal RNA", at positions 354 to 796 of the family's 1533-position model. The record is from RNAcentral.
GUGGGGAAUCUUCCGCAAUGGACGAAAGUCUGACGGAGCAACGCCGCGUGAAUGAUGAAGGUCUUAGGAUUGUAAAAUUCUUUCACCGGGGACGAUAAUGACGGUACCCGGAGAAGAAGCUCCGGCUAACUUCGUGCCAGCAGCCGCGGUAAUACGAAGGGGGCUAGCGUUGCUCGGAAUUACUGGGCGUAAAGGGCGCGUAGGCGGACAGCUUAGUCAGAGCUGAAAGCCCAGGGCUCAACCUUGGAAUUGCCUUUGAUACUGGCUGUCUUGAGUUUGGGAGAGGUGAGUGGAACUCCGAGUGUAGAGGUGAAAUUCGUAGAUAUUCGGAAGAACACCAGUGGCGAAGGCGACUCACUGGCCCAAUACUGACGCUGAGGCGCGAAAGCGUGGGGAGCAAACAGGAUUAGAUACCCGUGUAGUCC